CAUAGAUAUAUAUAUAUAUAUAUUAAAUAUUAAUACACGAUUUGAAAUUGUUAAAUUAUGCGGGAAAACGAAGAUAAAAAGAAUUCGCGCGAUUAUUAAGUUGUACUAGAAAAACUGAGCAUCGAUCAACAUUGAUGGAAAUAGUCUCCUCUCGUAGAUAAUGAAACAAAAGAGAGAGGGAGAGAAAAAAACGAAUUAACUAUAUCUAUAGUCUUUGAAAUACCCUUUGAAUUUCUCGUUUCGAGUUUCGGCGCUUUUUAUAAACAAGAAAUGAGAUAUGCGUAAUGCUUGUCUCGUUGAUAAAAAAAAAAAAAAAACGAAUGUAAUAACAAUCAUAAUAAUAAUAAUAAUAUCAAUAAUUACGAAUAAUUAUCGAUAAAGUAUUUUUUAAUUAUCGUUUAUAUUUGCUGCGAUAGCAGCGAAAUCUAUGGUCACGUUUCGAAGCGAUCCUUUGUAAAAUGAACGAUCAAAUUUUUUUUCCUUUUUCUCUAUACAUAUUUUCCUUUUCUACUUUCUUAUUUUGCGUAUCGUUCUUUUCGACUAUACGAAAAAAAAACAAUUGGUGUUUAAUUUUACGCGAGUUGUGCGGACGAUCGAAAGCGAGAUGGAGCACGUUUGACGAUAUCAGUUUAACCUCUAAAGUGCAAAAGUACCAUCGUUCUAACAUCAUUCAAUACGGAUUUCGACUUUGUGUUAAAAUUUAUUUUUCCGUCUUAUGAGACUCGACAAUGUUAUUUCAAAGAAUUGUAAAUCAAUAAAUUUCAUUUUGAUCUAAAAUUAACACUCCUUGAGAAUGAGUGAAUAAUAUAUAUAAAGUGAAUUUCGACACCAUAAAGGUUAAGUUAGAAACAUUUCGUAGACGAAUAUAGAAGUUGCUCCACGUCCAGAAUUUCUGCCCCAUGAAAUUUUAUGUUUUUUCUUUUUUCCUAUACACACGUAUAUUAUACACGCAUUUAUAUGUAUGUAAUAUAACCAGAAUAAGCAAGAUCUUGGAAAGAGAAUCUUGUCGCUAGAGUACAAUCGAUCGAUCGAUUCAACUGCGAAGCCUAUCUCUAACGAAAUUUCGUGCACGCAGCAUUAUUUUGUCUCUUAUUUUUCCCUUCAGUCGGCGAACGCGGUCUUAGGUCGUCGAGAAGAGGCUAGCAAGCAGCCUGAGCUCGACACACACGAAGAUAGCUUAUAUGACUUGCCUGCGUCCUUCCAGGAAGAACAAUCGGUCAAACCGAAUAUUCGAUUCGUCUUCUCGGUCUUCCGUUCGUCCAUAACGCGGAUCAUGCGCGUAUCCCACGUUAAAUUACGUAUGAAGAAUUAUACUAUAAUGAUCCCGUAUACGUGAUAUUCGUAAACGAAUAUUUAAUUUUUUUUAACUGAAAUCCAGAAAUAUUCGCGUUCUAAAUCGUGUUAACAAAUUGAUACGAUACGACUUUUUCAAUAUCUAUAACAAAAAUCAAAUUUUUCAUUUAAAAAAAAAAAAACCUCUAUCCAAAUCUUAAUCUUUUUUCAACUAAGUACAUAUCGAUUUCAUUCAUUUGAUAUUGAAUUAAAUUCCAAAAAAAGUAAAACAAUAUUUGUCCAAUCAAUAUCUAAAUAAAAUUAAAAAUGUUAAAUUCAAAGUAUUAUUUUUAUGAUAUUUCUGGAAAUCAGCGAGCACAUUCGUCCACGAAUGCACGUAUGAAGCCUAUUGUGAGGCAGACGGACGAAUAAUUGGUCGAACAAUCGACCGGCCAUGAUGUGGGACACGCACACGUGAUACACGGACCCACUAGGUCUCUCUUUUUUCUGCGAAGAUCGCGUGACGAUCAUCGACAUCCCUCGAGAAGGCAAGGCAAGAGAGCCAGGCGAGAAAAUCGAGCCAAAGUGCUCUCGUCGGAUGAAGGAAGACCUAUUGCAAUGACCUAAGAGUCGGUUCGGGAACCAGCACAUGUUUCCAGAAACGCGCGUACUUC
This 1946-nucleotide long non-coding RNA is filed under the name Apis dorsata (giant honeybee). Its description in RNAcentral is "uncharacterized LOC116186266". Lineage: Eukaryota; Metazoa; Arthropoda; Insecta; Hymenoptera; Apidae. The record is from RNAcentral.